GGCUGGAUCACCUCCUUUCUAAGGAGACUAUCCGGCAAGACCGGACAGUCUAUCUAGGUCAAUCCCGUCAAUAUCGUCUACUAUUUAGUUUUGAGAGACCAAGGCCUCGAAGCAUCGAGGUUUUUCGUUCUUUGCAAUCAAAGUGAAGCGUGGUUAGCGAUGAUAAGGCCUAGCGGCCAGUUUUGAGUAAUGAAAUAUGAGUUAUGAGUUAAAAACUCAAAACUCAAAACUAAGAACUCCUAACUGCCUUAAUGGGCCUGUAGCUCAGCUGGCUAGAGCACACGACUGAUAAUCGUGAGGUCGAUGGUUCGAGUCCAUCCAGGCCCACCACUUAUCUUGGGGGUGUAGCUCAGCUGGGAGAGCACCUGCCUUGCACGCAGGGGGUCAUCGGUUCGAACCCGUUCACCUCCACCAAGUUAGUAUGGGCGAAAAGUAUUUAGCCCGUACAAUGUUCUUUGACAAUUGCAUAAGUGAUUUGUAGUAGGCGUAGAUGCCGCGAAUCGUGAAUUGAAAGUCGUGAAUCGGAGCAAUCCGGGUCUCGAGUUUCGAGGAGUGAUUGUCGGCAGUACGAACGGGUAGAAUUGAUUGUAUAACAGUUUUUUUAUGGUCAAGCUACAAAGGGCGUACGGUGGAUGCCUAGGCAGAGAGAGGCGAUGAAGGACGUGGUAAGCUGCGAUAAGCUUCGGUGAGCCGCUAAACAGGCUUUGACCCGGAGAUUUCCGAAUGGGGAAACCCACUGGAGGUAAUGCUCCAGUAACAUACAGUAAAUACAUAGCUGUAUGUGGCGAACGGGGGGAACUGAAACAUCUAAGUACCCCCAGGAAGAGAAAACAAUAGUGAUUCCGUCAGUAGCGGCGAGCGAACGCGGACAAGCCCAAACCCGUAUCACUUCGGUGGUAUGGGGGUUGUGGGGCCAGUUGGGGAUAUCCCGAGAAGUUACAAAAUUCAUGUAUAGUCGAGCCGUCUGGAAAGUCGGGCCAUAGUGGGUGAUAGCCCCGUAGGCGAAAUGCAUGGAUCUUCUUGAACUGGUACCCGAGUACCGCCAGACACGUGGAACCUGGUGGGAAUCUGGGAGGACCAUCUCCCAAGGCUAAAUACUACUCUCUGACCGAUAGUGAACCAGUACCGUGAGGGAAAGGUGAAAAGUACCCCAAUGAGGGGGGUGAAAUAGAACCUGAAACCGUAUGCCUACAAGCAGUGGGAGCACUAUGGCGCAAGCCAGUGUGACCGCGUGCCUUUUGCAUAAUGAGUCAGCGAGUUACUCUUUGCAGCGAGGUUAAGCGCAUAGCGUGGAGCCGCAGCGAAAGCGAGUCUUAAUAGGGCGAUUGAGUUGCAGGGAGUAGACCCGAAACCGAGUGAUCUAUCCAUGUCCAGGGUGAAAGGAAGGUAACACUUCGUGGAGGCCCGAACCCACUGGCGUUGAAAAGCCAGGGGAUGAGGUGUGGAUAGGAGUGAAAGGCUAAUCAAACUCGGAGAUAGCUGGUUCUCCCCGAAAUAUAUUUAGGUAUAGCCUCACAAAGUAAGUAGCGGGGGUAGAGCACUGGAUGGGCUAGGGGUCCUACCAGAUUACCAAACCUAACCAAACUCCGAAUACCGCUAACUGUUAUUGUGGGAGUCAGACUGCGGGUGAUAAGAUCCGCGGUCGAAAGGGAAACAGCCCAGACCGUCAGCUAAGGUCCCAAAAUCUAUGCUAAGUGGAAAACGAUGUGGAAACGCCCAGACAACCAGGAGGUUGGCUUAGAAGCAGCCACCCUUUAAAGAAAGCGUAAUAGCUCACUGGUCAAGUGGGUCUGCGCGGAAAAUGUAACGGGGCUAAGCAUAGUACCGAAGCUACGGAUUGGCGUCUUAAGGCGCCAGUGGUAGGGGAGCAUUGUGUAAGCCUGCGAAGGUCGACCGCGAGGACGGCUGGAGGUAUCACAAGAGAUUAUGCUGACAUGAGUAGCGAAAAUGCGGGCGAGAAACCCGCACACCGAAAACCCAAGGUUUCCUAGGUAAAGGUAAUCUUCCUAGGGUUAGUCGGUCCCUAAGGCGAGGCCGAAAGGCGUAGUUGAUGGGAAACAGGUUAAUAUUCCUGUACCACCUGUGAAUGCGAUGGGGGGACGGAGAAGGGUAGGCGAUCCGGGUACUGGUUAUCCCGGUUUAAGCGAGUAGGCGGGCGAGGGAGGCAAAUCCCCCUUGCUGUUAACGUCGAGACGUGAUGACGAGAGCGGAUGCUCAUAAAGUCGUUGAUCCCAUGCUUCCAAGAAAAGCCUCUAAGCUUCAGUUCACAGGUGACCGUACCGUAAACCGACUCAGGUGGGUGAGGAGAAAAUCCUAAGGUGAUUGAGAGAACACUGGUUAAGGAACUCGGCAAAAUGAUACCGUAACUUCGGGAGAAGGUAUGCCCCCAUCAGGUGUAGCGAUACGCACGUGAAGCCGAAGGGGGUCGCAGAGAAAUGGCGGUAGCGACUGUUUACUAAAAACACAGGACUCUGCUAAGUCGAAAGACGACGUAUAGGGUCUGACGCCUGCCCGGUGCCGGAAGGUUAAGGGGAUUUGUUAGCCGCAAGGCGAAGCUUUGAACCGAAGCCCCGGUAAACGGCGGCCGUAACUAUAACGGUCCUAAGGUAGCGAAAUUCCUUGUCGGGUAAGUUCCGACCUGCACGAAUGGCGUAACGAUUUCCGCGCUGUCUCAACCAGUGGCUCAGCGAAAUUGAAUUCUCGGUGAAGAUGCCGAGUACCCGCGGCAAGACGGAAAGACCCCGUGCACCUUUACUACAGCUUGACAGUGACAUUCGGAAUAGUUUGUGUAGGAUAGGUGGGAGACUAUGAAGCCGGUACGCCAGUUUCGGUGGAGUCAACCUUGAAAUACCACCCUGGUUGUUUUGGAUGUCUAACCCAGGCCCGUCAUCCGGGUCGGGGACACUGUCUGGUGGGUAGUUUGACUGGGGCGGUCGCCUCCCAAAGAGUAACGGAGGCGCG
RNAcentral lists this unclassified non-coding RNA (2961 nucleotides) under uncultured fungus. RNAcentral's name for it is "sequence contains 18S rRNA gene, ITS1, 5.8S rRNA gene, ITS2, 28S rRNA gene". The stretch from base 606 to 2961 matches the Rfam family "Bacterial large subunit ribosomal RNA", at positions 1 to 2310 of the family's 2925-position model. Lineage: Eukaryota; Fungi. The record is from RNAcentral.